UACGGAGGGUGCAAGCGUUAUCCGGAUUCACUGGGUUUAAAGGGUGCGUAGGUGGGUCUGUAAGUCAGUGGUGAAAUCUUCGAGCUUAACUCGGAAACUGCCAUUGAUACUAUAGAUCUUGAAUUUUCUGGAGGUAAGCGGAAUAUGUCAUGUAGCGGUGAAAUGCUUAGAUAUGACAUAGAACACCAAUCGCGAAGGCAGCUUACUACGGGAACAUUGACACUGAGGCACGAAAGCGUGGGGAUCAAACAGG
Molecule: ribosomal RNA, 253 nt
Filed under: uncultured bacterium
Lineage: Bacteria
Description: partial 16S ribosomal RNA
Rfam family: Bacterial small subunit ribosomal RNA
Source: RNAcentral